CGGAGCCUGAGUUAGUCGAAUAGACCAUCCACAAGUAAAGACUGGUGCUUCUGGCUUCUUGGUAGUUGGUGUUACUUGGUGGGCAGAGACCAGCGGUGCUCUGCCCCGCAGUCAGCGUUACACCCGUUGUCUCCUCUCCCUGAAACUCACCCUGCUGCUAGGGAGGGAGGAUGAUGCUCUCCUCUAGCUGUGACUCUGUCUACUGCUGGGUAGAG
Non-coding RNA from Pelobates cultripes (western spadefoot toad), 215 nucleotides. NCBI's taxonomy places the organism in Eukaryota, Metazoa, Chordata, Amphibia, Anura, Pelobatidae. The record is from the annotation of a GenBank genome assembly.